GUGUCAGCCGCCGCGGUAAGACAGAGGUGGCAAGCGUUGUUCGGAUUUACUGGGCUUAAAGGGCGUGUAGGCGUCCUGAUAAGUCAGGUGUGGAAUCCCUGGGCUCAACCCAGGAAUUGCACUUGAAACUGUCAGGAUUGAGUCAUGCAUAGGAGGGCGGAAUUCCUGGUGUAGCGGUGAAAUGCGUAGAUAUCAGGAGGAAGGCCUGUGGCGAAGGCGGCCCUCUGGGCAAUGACUGACGCUGAGGCGCGAAAGCGUGGGGAGCAAACAGGAUUAGAUACCCUGGUAGUCCACGCCCUAAACGGUGGGCACUAGGUGUGGAGCUCGUGAGGGUUCCGUGCCGAAGGGAAACCAUUAAGUGCCCCGCCUGGGGAGUACGGCCGCAAGGUUGAAACUUAAAUGAAUUGGCGGGG
RNAcentral lists this ribosomal RNA (413 nucleotides) under uncultured prokaryote. RNAcentral describes it as "bacterial SSU rRNA". It matches the Rfam family "Bacterial small subunit ribosomal RNA", at positions 505 to 918 of the family's 1533-position model. The record is from RNAcentral.